RNAcentral lists this transfer RNA (73 nucleotides) under Guillardia theta. Its description in RNAcentral is "tRNA-Arg". It matches the Rfam family "tRNA". From Rfam's summary of the family: Transfer RNA (tRNA) molecules are approximately 80 nucleotides in length. Their secondary structure includes four short double-helical elements and three loops (D, anti-codon, and T loops). Lineage: Eukaryota; Cryptophyceae; Pyrenomonadales; Geminigeraceae. The record is from RNAcentral.
GCUCAAGUAGCUUAACGGAUAAAGCAGUGAUCUACGAAAUCGAAGAUUGUAGGUUCGAAUCCUACCUUGGGCU